CCCUUCACCAAACCCUCCUCGCAGCGCCGCCGCCGCCACGCCCUCCCAGAUCCCAGAUCCCAUCUCCUCUCUUCCGCAUCCUCCACCCCACCCCCAUCCUUAUCGCCGCGCCCCGCGCCUGAGCGCCUCCCGGCAGCCGCCGCGCCCGUUUCCCCCAGACCCCGUCGUCGACGACGCCGACUGCCUUCCGCGGCUUCCCCCGUCCUCGAGCCCUCCACCUCAGUCGAGCCGCGUCUCCUUCUGCUGGAUCUCGUCCGGAUGACGGGCGCCGUCUGUUGGGGAGCCCGGCGGCUCUGUGGUGUUCAAGCAGGAACCUCAUGCUACCGGCAGCAUGUUGCGCUUGCUUGAACAUCCCAGAGCCACCGGCGUGCCAAAAUUCACGCAGAAGGAGACCCCUCGAGGAGAGAUCCGCCAAGCUGGAGUACCUGAACGUCUUCUUCAAGUACUCCACUUUUUUUUCUCGCGGAGAAAAAGGUGGAAUACUUGAAGAAGAUUUUCAGGUCGUCCAUUAGAAAGCUCACCAUAUUACCCCCAAGAUCUUGCUGCAUCCCGCAGAGGUUUGAAGAUUACAUAUGGAGGUUGGUAGCACAACUCUUUAAGUCGAAGUGUGAUUCAUUUGAAGCUGUUGCGCCCAUGGUAAUUACUUAUAUCUGUAUCGCACUGACCAGUGGACAUCUUGUUACCCUUGCCUGUUUGAGACAUGCCUCUAUCAGUUUGGUAUUUGUGCUUAUGCCAGUACUUGCUGUAGAUUCUCCCUAACUGAAUGGUUUGUUCACUUUAUUUUUUAUUCUGAUUUGAUAUCCGUUUCUCAUUUUUUACAUGUUCUUUCUGUUUGCAUCAUCAGCUGGUUAGGAAGUUUUGAGCGGUGAUGACAUUUAUGUGGACUAGAGUUUCUGAUACUGCCUCUUCAGCAGUACUUUUGAAGACAAACCCUUGGCUGUCUGAGCUCCCCCCAUUGCAUUUAUAUCUUUUGAUUAGUUCAUGUAUUCUUUUGUUUAUUACCAAUUCUCAGGAUGAUUUAUCAAUUCUUAUGGUGUAAUUGCUUGGACUUUUGGUUGUUGUGUUGUGAUCUUUUUGGUGUUUUUCAUUGGGCCUGAUGCCAUGUCUCAGGUAGCUACGGCUUUGACCGGAGAUCCUACAUUGUGCCAUUAGAGAGAUGUUGGACGUUUCACAUUUGAUAGGAACCUGUGGACAUGAUUUAGUCGGUACACAGAACCGUUUUUUGUGAUUACACUGCUGAUUUUAAAUUGGAGGAAAUCAAUGGCGAUGAUGAUAAAACAUAGGCUUGUUUCUCAAAACAUUCGCAGUUGCCGCCUAAGAGCUUUCGCCCCGCCAGGCUUGAGAGCUAAUGCUGCUAAUUCCUUCCUUGGAUGUCUGAGCCAUGUUGAUUUUACUCAUUUGAAUAUUUUUGUCUCUGCUUUAUCUUCUUGAUUUAACAGGAUAUUAUGUUAUUGUACUUGCUUUGCAUACUUUGCUUAUCUUUAAUUGGGUAAAAUCAAUGGCGAUGAUGAUAAAAUUUAGGCUUGUUUCUUGAAACAUUCGCAGUUGCCGCCUAAGAGCUUUCGCCCUGCCAGGCUUGAGAGCUAAUGCUGCUAAUUCCUUCCUUGGAUGUCUGAGCCAUGCUGAUUUUACUCAUUUUAAUAUUUUCUGUCUCUGUUUUAUCUUCCUGGUUUAAGAGGAUGUGUUUGUGAUUAUACUUGCUUUGCAAACUUACCAUAAUAUAUUUUCACUGUACUUAUUUGGAAUUGGGGGAAAUCAAUGGUGAUGAUGAUAAAACUUAGGCUUGUUUCUCAAAACAUUUGCAGUUGCCGCCUAAGAGCUUUCGCCCCGCCAGGCUUGAGAGCUAAUGCUGCUAAUUCCUUCCUUGGAUGUCUGAGCCAUGUUAAUUUACCUGAUUUAAUGUUUUUUUUGGCGUCUGACUUCAUGAUACUGGUUUUGAUCUGAUAUUUAUGUUUUGAGGUUCAUAUGGCAUUUUGAGAUAUUUCAGCCUCUUUGGAAUGUUGGAUUCUGAAACGUAUGAUAAAGCUAAGUCUUGUUUUCAAAACAUUCACAGUUUCUACCUAAGUAUGUUUCAAAACGCUCAUUGGUGUUAACAUGAUUUGUGUUGCAUCCUUUAGUAUCUUCAUUGAAGAGAACCAGAGGUUUGUUUGUUUUUCAGGAGGACGGUGAAGAUUGAUAUUUGGUCUCGUUCGUCGUAAUUGGCAUUUUUUUUGCCUUGCCGACCAUACUGCUAUAUCACCACCCAUAUUCUGAGUCCUCCAGUUACAUGUUUUCCUUUUGGUUUCGAUUCAUAUCCAUUUUGUUUGAUGUUUGGUGGCUGAUGAUUAGGAAACUAAAGUACUCCCUCCGUUCGCAAAUAUAAGUCUUUCUAGAGAUUCCAACAAGUGACUACAUAAGCAAAAUGAGUGAAUCUACACUCUAAAAUAUGUCUACAUACAUCCGACCGAGGGAGUAUAGAAAAAGAAUUGUCUCAUUUCUUAUCUGUGUAUAAGACCAAUGAUCCAUAUUUUUAUGUUGUUUUAAAAGUGUUCUUACCUAUGAUGAGUUGCGAACUGUAUUGCCUACAUUGUUUGAACAAUCUGUGAGAAGCUUAUGCAGCGUCUGAGGAUGAAUAAGAAAAGGAACAAAAUCUUUCAAAAUGGAUCAACUUUUUUUAAUUGCUAUUUUAUUUUUCGUUUUGGUAAUGCCGGAUUAUGAUUACUAUUUUUAUACUACUAAAUUAGUUUCUCCAAAAUGAUUUAUUCGAUAAAGUGGCCCGACAAAUUCGCCAUUGUAGCAUUCUUGCUUUACCUUCUGCUGGUCCAUGUGUUGUCAUGUCUCUUUGACUUUGAGCCAGUGGCUGGUCUGCAUACCAAACUUUCUGAAUUUGAUUCUGGCCUGCAGGUCGAUCUUGUCCUUCCACUUCUUGUCUGAGAGCUGUAAUUUUCUUUUUGUGUUUGUUUUACAACGCUGGAGUGUAUUACCAGGUGACUGGAACAAUCAAACAUGUGUGUAAGGAAACGGAUCACAAUUUUUUCAUUGUCUUUGCUAUUAUUUUGGCUUUUACCACAUAUGCAUCCGGGAGGAGAAACUUCGUGCAGUCAAGGAUACUUUGCUAAGUCUUGGGCCGGUUUGGCACCGCCCGCGCAGCCACGUGAUUGGCCCACCCCACCGUUGUUUCACCCUAUCCUCCUAUAAGCAUCUUCCUCCUCUCGCAACACCAUUCUGCUCUCUCCUCUUUACCUCCACUCCUCCCCAUGUGAGAGAUGGCCAUGGUGAUUCCUUCCGACUGCCUACAUAGACGGUGACGAGGGGUGCUGCCGCAACCACUACGGCCACAUGUUGUAACCAAUCGAUGAAGAGCUCAAUUCUCAAGUAGUCGUGCUCAAAUCUUCUCAGCGAGGAGCACAUUACUAUGAAUAAUGACGGAGAGGGACAUUAAAGGGGAAAACUGAGCAAAGAGAUGUAAAAAUAUAUUAUAAAAGUUUUUCACUUCUA
Aegilops tauschii subsp. strangulata is the source of this 3477-nucleotide long non-coding RNA. RefSeq lists it as uncharacterized. Lineage: Eukaryota; Viridiplantae; Streptophyta; Magnoliopsida; Poales; Poaceae. The record is from RefSeq and is a predicted model, not a curated record.